CACACACACACACACACCCCACGCAUUCAAGCAGCCCUGGUGUUGUACAGAUCAUCCGAGGCGACGUUUCUCGAUUCGAUCAUGGCCACCAAGAUGUUCCGCGCCGCCGUCGUCGUCGUCGCUGCCGCGGUGUCUUGCCUCGCCGGGGUUGCUCUGGCUGCCGAUGGGCCCGCGCCGAGCCCGACGUCCGGCGCCGCCGCCGUCUCGUCCUCGGUCGUCGCCGCCGUUCUCUGCCCGGCCGUGGCGCUCCUCUUCGCCAACCUGCGCUACUGAGUUGGUUGAGGUCGUCGCAGCGCGCGCGUGUCCAUGAGGCUGGCUCCAUGAACGACUCUGUUCUUCUCUGCUUGAUCACUCGCCUAGUGUGCCUUCUUUACCCCCCUGGUUCUUACCUGUACUUAGCUUCUUCCUUCCGGUGCGCUAGAUUAACCGUUCUUGCCUUCUUGUGAUACGCAUCUAUGUGUAUUGAUUCAGAUCAUUUCAUACCAUCAUUUGGAACUAUUUAUUAAUUGCUCCGUUAUAUGCCGGCCUGUGAAAUUAAUCGUCGU
Molecule: small RNA, 545 nt
Filed under: Oryza sativa Japonica Group (Japanese rice)
Lineage: Eukaryota; Viridiplantae; Streptophyta; Magnoliopsida; Poales; Poaceae
Description: sRNA Os01g0706850
Source: RNAcentral